UAUUAGAUGGCUGAAUUGUAAGCGUAGGUCUUUUAAACCUAAGAUAUUAAAGGUAACAUUUAUUUCUAAUAA
This 72-nucleotide transfer RNA is filed under the name unidentified. Its description in RNAcentral is "Spelaeomysis bottazzii tRNA-Lys". It matches the Rfam family "tRNA". Rfam says of the family: Transfer RNA (tRNA) molecules are approximately 80 nucleotides in length. The record is from RNAcentral.